Molecule: ribosomal RNA, 239 nt
Filed under: uncultured bacterium
Lineage: Bacteria
Description: partial 16S ribosomal RNA
Rfam family: Bacterial small subunit ribosomal RNA
Source: RNAcentral
CCGGCGCACGGUGAGUAACGCGUAUGCAACUUGCCUAUCAGAGGGGGAUAACCCGGCGAAAGUCGGACUAAUACCGCAUGAAGCAGGGGCCCCGCAUGGGGAUAUUUGCUAAAGAUUCAUCGCUGAUAGAUAGGCAUGCGUUCCAUUAGGCAGUUGGCGGGGUAACGGCCCACCAAACCGACGAUGGAUAGGGGUUCUGAGAGGAAGGUCCCCCACAUUGGAACUGAGACACGGUCCAA